This is a long non-coding RNA of Cornus florida, 11614 nucleotides long. RefSeq lists it as uncharacterized. The record is from RefSeq and is a predicted model, not a curated record. The transcript has 2 exons. NCBI's taxonomy places the organism in Eukaryota, Viridiplantae, Streptophyta, Magnoliopsida, Cornales, Cornaceae.
GCACAUUAUUAUUGUAUGGAUAUCACUAAACGUAGAUGUUCGUCUCCGCUACACUUACAUACUCUAUUUCUUCCCUCCCUCUCCUUUCCUCUUUAUCUUCUUCCUUCUUCUUAUCCUUGCCUCUGCAGAUCACUCUCACUAAAACACACCCUCUCUCUCUCUCUCUAGAACUCGCAAAACAAACCUAGCCAGAAUGAUCUCGAUGUUGGCUCUCUGUGUGCUUCCGGCGCUCGUUAGCGCCACCGGCCGGUUGCGAACCCAUUGAUUGUGGAGGGUCGGGUUUACUGCGGCACAUGCCGAGCCGGGUUCGAGACCUCUGCAACCACCUGUCUGUCGGCUCGAUCGAAGUUCGAACCAUGCUUCUGACACUUGAAGGAUCGAUUCUGUUUGCUAAUAGAGUAGUAUACUGUGCGUUGAGAUAGAUCUGGUAGAUCUAAGCGAGGGUUUUAUCUAGUUAAGGACUAUUGUGUACAUAUAUUAUCAUACAAGACUGCUACAUAUAUCAUUUUGCGGAUCCGGAUUAGGAAUGUCGAUGGGUCGGGUUUGUAGCUGGCACUUUCUUGGAUCCAGACAUCUGGUUGUUAGGCUCGAAUGCUUGAUACUGUACUGUAUACUAAUUUACGUGAAGGCCUCUUUUUAGGUUUCACGGUGAGCCUAAUCCGUUUGUGUACCACAAUCAGCCCCAAACCCGGGAUCUAGGCGGAAACUUGACCCGGUCAUGCCCAGAGGAAGUGAACCCCAUAGGUGAAGAUUUAGGGCUGGCUUGGUUGAGUUUUCUUUUCUGACAACAUUUUAAACGAGAGAUGUUUGAAAUUCAUUUGUUGACAGUUUUUUUUUUUUUUUUUCGGAGAUUGUUUUCUGAAAAUCGGGUCAAGAAAAAGCAUGUUUCAUAGAAGAGUAGUGCUAUUGCGAGCGCGCGCUCGCAAUAGCACUCACACGCACCCCAAUUCCAGCCUCAGGAUGACUAUUUUUUAGAGAUUCGAGACCCUGAUGACAACUAAGGAAAAUGAAAGCACCUUUUUUCUCUCUUUCUUUGUAUGUUUUGCCUCCUGAACCCAGCUUUCUCUCUCCUGGUUAACUCUCACAUAGCCUCUCUAUCUUAGGGCUAGUUUGGUGUGCUGGAAUGGACUGGAAUGGAAUGACCAUUCCAACUUCUGAUUCCUUUUCUCUUGUUUGGUGUGCCAUUUUAAAGGUGGAAUGACUAUUCCAACUCAUUCUCUGAGAAUGCUCAUUCCAUCAAGAAGUUGGAAUGGUCAUUCCUCUUCUUGACCAAAGGAAUGACCAUUCCAUUUCCAACAAAAAUUAAAAUAAAAAAUAAGUAAAAUAAAAAAAAUAAAAAAAUAAAAAAUAAAAAAUAAAAACACCGUCUAACCUAAAAACUUCUUUCACACAGACUCUGUCUCCCUCAGACGUCUUCCUCCAUCGUAUCUCUCUUUUCAAACACUACUAAAAAACUUUCCUCUGCCUCCACUUCUCCCCUCACAGUUCCACACUUCCCUCUCUCUCCUCCUUCCUCUCUCACCACCCAGCAUACUUUGAAUGAAAAACCUUCGAAACCCUCGCAUAUACACACACAGUAGCACUCUGCAAUUGUUUGUUCCUCUUGCUUCCAAGCUUUUCUCUGAACAUUCCAGAGGGAGCAUCCAUAGCAAUAGUUCGUAAACUCACCAAGCUCUGAACUUUUUAAUCUUAGAGAGACAGAGAAGCAAGUACUCACCGUCAGAGCUGAUCUAGGGUUUUCUGCAUCUCUUUAUUUCUCUCUUGAUUCAAUCGAAAAUGGCAAUGACGGCACAAACUCCUUUUAUUUUAGGGGAACGCCAGUCGGGGCAGGACGUUCGUACUCAAAACAAGUUGUUGUUGAUCAAUUCUUAAUUCUUAUUUAUUUUUAGUUUUUUUUUUUUAUUUUUUUAUUUUGAAUUUUGAUAAGAAUAUUUUGAAAAAAAAAAUUCAUUCCAUUCUAGUUUUAGGAUGGUCCAGCCAAACAUUGAAAUGGAAAUAAGCAUUCCAUUCUUUAUCAUUCCAGGUUUGAAACCAAACAAUGGAAUAAGAAUGACCAUUCCUUUCCUUUUCCAUUCUCAUUCUAUUCCUACUUAAAUUCUCAUUCCAUUCUAUUUUAUUCCUGCACACCAAACUAACCCUUAGUCUUUGACUCUUGUUUUUUUAUUUUUUUUGGAAGUCUCUCCUGGUUAACUCUCACAUGGCCUCUCUCUCUUUAGUCUUUGACUCUUGUGCUUUUUUUUUUUUCCCGGAAGUUUUGCCUUUGUUUUAUUAGCGGGCUAUUUACUUUUUAUUCAAUAUUUUAUAGAAAAAAUCCUUUUUAUUGCAUUCAGGAAUAGUAUAAUUGCACUGGUGAUUUGUUUUAGUCCGUCUCUCAAGAAUCACAAUGGUUCGAUUUUCUCAUUUUUAUUUAAUUUUUUCUCUUUUUUGGUAAGUAUGCAAUGAUAAUUGUAAAAAAAUAGUAUGCAAUGCCUAUUAUCUAUACCUGAAGCAAAAAUUAUUAUAUAUUUUUUUCUCUUUUCAUAUUACUUCUAAGACAUUUAUAGAUCCUUGAAGAAAUGGGGAAAAAAUUAGCAGGAACGCAACUAACUAAAAGUAAUACAAAAAUAAGAACUCCAGCACCCUAACACAAACACUACUGAAUUUGUGAUGAAGCAAAAAUUACCAUAUAUUUUUCUCUUUCUUCACAUUAAUUUUCAAAAAUUUAUAGCACCUGAUCCUUGGAGAAGAUGGGGAAGAAAAAAAAAAAUAGCUUCUGGAAAACAAGAAGUAAAAGUAAUAAAAAAAUAAGAACUCCAACAGCCUAACACAAAUAUUACUGGAUUUGUGCUGAAGCAAAAAUUACUAUAUAUUUUUCCCCUUUUUCACAUUAAUUCGCAAAAAUUUAUAGUAGUUGAUCCUUGAAGAAUAUGGGGAAAAAAUAGCUGCUAAAGGAACAAAAAAACAUUGUUGGGAAUUUCUAAAACUGGAUUUGAACUCCACCAUCACUCCAAUGCAAAAGAAUCCAUGUAGCUUGAAUUCAAAUAUCAUUUUCAAAAUCCUGCAAGAGAUUGGGGGAGAGAAAUAUUUGAGCAUCUUAAUAAAUUGUUUAAACAAAUUAAAUAAAAACGCAACACUCUAAAGUUCGAUACGUACUUCACCUUAUAUAAUUUAUUAAGAUCAAAACCAACAUCACUGGAGUUGAGAUUCAAUGAACCAAAUUGUGCAUUUCCCUAUAAGUCAUAAAAUACGUGGUAAGUUACAUGUAACUAGAACUUUUUUUAAAAAAAUCAGUACAUGGUGAUACUAACUAUACCAAUUGAAAUAAAAAAUAAUAAUAAAAGUAUCAUGCAGGAAAAGAAAUUAUGUUUACCAACCUGACUCGUGGUAGGUAUAAACGAGUCUUGAAAGAGCAAAUUGUUCACUAUUAGUUGUUAACCUUGAACUUGAACCAUGCUUCUUUUUCCCUACAUGGAGGAUUAAAUAAAAUAGUAAAGAGCUGCUAAAGGAACACAAGUAAAAGUAAUAAAAAAAUAAGAACUCCAACAACCCAACACAAACAUUACUGGAUUUGUGCUGAAGCAAAAAUUACCAUAUAUUUUUCCCCUUUUUCAAAUUAAUUCGUAAAAAAUUAUAGUAGUUGAUCCUUGAAGAAGAUGGGGAAAAAAUAGCUGCUAAAGGAACAAAAAAAACAUUGCUUGGAAUUUUCAAAAACUAGAUUUGAACUCCACCAUCACUCCAAUGCAAAAGAAUCCAUGUAGCUUGAAUUCAAAUAUCAUUUUCAAAAUCCUGCAAGAGAUUGGGGGAGAGAAAUAUUUGAGCAUCUUAAUAGAUUGUUUAAACAAAUUAAAUAAAAACGCGACACUCUAAAGUUUGAUAUGUAGUUACCUCAUGUGAUUUAUUAAGAUCAAAACCAACAUUAGUGGAGUUGAGAUUCAAUGAACCAAAUUCUAUAUUUCCCUAUAAGUCAUAAAAAUAGUGGUAAGUUAAAUGUAACAAGAACUAUUAAAAAAAAAUCAGUACAUGGUGAAACUAACUAUACCAAUUGAAAUUAAAAAAAAAAAAAAAGUAUCAUGUAGGAAAAGAAAUUAUGUUUAUCAACCUGACUCGUUGUAGGUAUAAACAAGUCACUUAUUUGUGACAGCAAAUUGUUCACUUUUAGUUGUUGAACUUGAACUUGAACCAUGUUUGUUUUUCCCUACAUGGAGGAUUAAAUAAAAUAGUAAAAUUUAAAAUUCAUGUAAAUGAUUGUACAUAGAGCAAUCUUACUUAUUAGUAGCCUUACUUUUGUUCUUUGGCCUUGAAUCUAGAAAUGAUUUCAUUCUUUCUGGACGCCCUUUAUGCCUCACAACCAAGGGAUCAAGUAACUUACUCUGAUUCUCAAAAUUAUUAGAAACUACACAACUAUUUAGUGUGAUCAUUUCAGAAGGCUUUAUUGCUAAUUCUUUUCUUGCAGCAUCAAUUUCAUUUGACAACUUCUGCAAACCAUUCAUAGCCAAGUUGUAUAUUUCCUCAUGCAUAACACUUUUUUCAGCAAUGCUUGAGGUCUCACGACAAAUAUUGCUAUACCGAAGCGUCACUGGUUCAUGACAAUCAGCCUGCAUUUGUUCACCUAUCUCAUCCACCACCGGGCCAGACUUUUCAUCUCUUGUAAACCUUUUUAAAAAGUAUUGAGAUGGAACAUUUCGAAUAUCUAUGACUAUAAACACCUUUAGGAUAUGCCGGCAUAAGUAUCCUGCAAAUUCAAAUAGUUGACAUGUACAUUUUACAUCAAUAGAUGUAGCAGAGCUACAAAAAGUAACAAUAUGCCCCCCAUCUUUUUGGUUUCCUCUCCACACAAUAAAAUAUGCUUUUUCCAUAUUCCCAGUCAUUUCAUGAUUGUAGUUAAGACCUAAUAAUAACUCUUCUUGGAACAUUUUAAAGAUUGCUCUUGUAUAAAUUUUAGAAGCAUAUUCUUCAAUGUCCAUUCCAAUCUUUAAAAAAGGCUUCUUAUAACGUCUCAAAAUCUUCAUCAUUUUCCAUUUCCCUUUUAUGUAUGAUAGCUCUUUCAUACUGCUUUACAAAUUCACAUAGUGGCAUAUCUUUCUUCAAGUACCCAUCAAAGUAGGCAUUUAUGCUUUCACUACGUUGUGUUGUGUACAUAGAUGCACAAAAAACAUCACGUGUAUAAACAGCUGCCCAUUUUUCCCUUUUUCCAUACAAGCUCAUCAACCAUUUAAUAUCUCUCAAGCCAUACUUUUCCAACAUUGCUUCCCAACUAAGCUGGAAAUCUUCUAUGGAUUCACAUCCGUACAGGCAAUUAUUGAAAUCAUUUUUAAAUCCAUUAUGUGCAUUGUAUAUACUUCCCAGCUUUUUGGUAGCAUUUCUUGUGAUGUGCCAAAGACAAAAUCUAUGUCGAGUGCCUGGUAAUGCAUGUGAUAUUGCCCCAGCAAUUGCAGACUCUUGGUCAGUAAGAAUCACUUUAGGUUGUUUUCCAUGCAUCGCUUUCAUUCAUGUUGAAAUUACCCAAAAGAAAGACUCCUCCGUUUCAUCAAAAAGAAGUGCACCACCAAACAACAUUGUUUGAUAAUGAAGAUUUACCCCUACAAUAGGAACAAAUGGCAUACCAUACUUAUUCGUCCAAUAUGUUGGAUCAAAACAAACAACAUCCCCAAAAUAGUGAGAGUCCAUUCUUGAUCUAGAAUUUGCCCAAAAAAUUUUAAGUCAUCCUACCAUCCGAAUCAACUUGAAUUGAAUAAUAGAAUGAUCGAUUAUUGGUUUGUUGACUUUCAAGAAAAUUAAGAACAGCUUGCACAUCUCCAUUUUGAAUCUCUUUUCUUCUUUUAAAACCCAAAAAGUUUCUUGCAUCUUUUGAAGUAAAACCAAUAUUACGAUAUCCACCAUCAAGUGCCAAAAAAACUCAUUAUCAAAUUUGUCUUUACGCCAGAUUCACUCAUAUUUGAUAACAUUUGACCAUGACCUUCUUUUACCUUUCUAUGCGAUGGCAACUUAUGUUUUUUACUUGGAGUUACAAGAGAAUGAUUAUGUUCUUCAAUAACUUUAGAGAUAACCCAUCUAUCUUCUUUCUUAAUAACUGAUAUCUUUGCUUUGCAACCCACUCUUGUUUCAGGAAAUUGCCUUUUUUUUCCCCUUCAUUUACCUUGAAUCUUGGUUCUUUAAAACCUUGAAGUGAGCAACAAAAUCGACGGCCAAUUACUUCUCCCGUCUUCUUAGAUGUUCGAGAAUAACUUUUUCAAACACUAAAUCCCUUGUUAUAAGCAUAUCCAUUAUAAAAUUCAAAUACCUCAUCUAAGGAUUUAAAUUCCAACCCAACAUACGGAGCAAAAUCCUCUUUUUCAUCACAAGGAAUAAUAUCAUUUGUUUAAACAACCUCCACAUCAUCCUCAACAAAAUUAGAGCAAGUGUAAUCUUGAUUUUUAUGUUGUAAAACAUCUUCAUCCAAAUCUUGAAUUACAACAUCCAUUUUAAUCUAUGCAAAAGAUAAUUAUGUAGAACAAUUUCACUAAUUAAGAAAAGGUAACAACAAAUUCACUUUAACCUGUUAUAAGGAACUCCAAAAUAAUUAUAUAAAAAAUAUUAUGACCAACAGAAAUUAUAAUGCAUUUAUGUUUACAAAAAUCAGAGUACUGUGAAGGACAUCCAGAAUGGUCUUAUUCUCAGUCAUGAUUUCAUAACUAAAUUACUCAUUGUGUUCCAAUACACACAUUUGAUGAAUUGAAAUGAAUGAUUGCCACAAUUACAUGUAAGAAGACAAAUAAGAACUUCACACUACAAGGACAUGCUAUGAUAGGUUCACAAAUAAGAAUAUGAUAGGAUGAGAUUUUGAUGGUGAAUUAAUCAAAUUUUUCUGUAAUUGCCUUUCAUCAACUUGGAUUUUCCCCCUAAUAUGGAGGGGACAAUAACAUAACUGCUGGGGAAAAGGUGUUGUUGAAAGUAAGAACACGGUCUAGAGUGGAGAUUAAAUAAUAAAAACAUAAAGAUGUCUAAAGUUCGAUAAAAGUAAAACAAUUCCAUAAAUAACAGUUAAACGUCUUAAGUAAUCAAGCCUUCCAGUGAUGCCUUAGCAUAGAAAGUGUGAGCCCUAAAUUCGGGAUGUAAUUCUAAAUAAAAAUACUAUCGAAUUCUCACCCAAUUUUAAGAAGAAGACCGAAUCGAGAUUGAAGACCACAACUACUGGGUGUGUUUACAAUCAGGCAAAUAUUUCAUUAUUGGCCAAACAUGUGAUAGAGCCGAAAAAGAGAGAAAGACAGAGAAGUUGCAAACUUUAUCGAAGAAAAAAAGACAAUAGGCAAAAGAGAGAGAGAAAAGUGAUAUGAGUUAACCAGGAGAGAGAAAGUUAGGUUAAGGUUUGGGUUAAAGAGGCAAAACGUACAAAGAAGAGAUAGAAAAAAAGGUGUUUUCAUUUCCUUAGCUGUCAUCAGUGUCUCGAAUCUCUAGAAAAUAGUCAUCCUAUGGCUGGAAUUGGGGUGCGCGUGAGUGCUAUUGCGAGCGCGUGCUUGCAAUAGCACUACUCUUCAUAGAAUAGGAUUUCAGUUAUCUGAGUUGAAUUAUUUUCGGAAGAGGAGGUUGCUAGACAACCGCCCAUUUGAUUGGGCGGUUGAUAAACCAUCAUGUGUUUGUUGGUUUUUUUUUUUUUUUUUCUUAAAUCUAUCCUAGAUUCAACUAGACUUAAUAUCCAGCAGGAAGGGACAUACUUGGUCAUGUAGUUUUUUGGAGUUGAAAUUUUAAGCAGCAACACGUAAUAGGAUAGAUUUAAGAAAAAAAAAAAAAAAAACCUACAACACGUGAUGGUUCAGUCGCCCAAUGAUGGGCAAUUGUUGCUAGCAAACCUCAUUUUUAGAAAAUUGAACCAAAAAUGUUCCAAGUAACUGGUCCAAAUAGUGGGGAGGAAUGAUAUAACUUACUUUACAAAGUAGAUAUAUUGCAAUCCAAAAAUAUAAUGUUGUGGGAAAACUGCUGUACACACAAAUUUCAUACUCUGCAAUUAAAAGAAUGAAAUAGGGAGCAAAUAGUAAUUUAUUGAUUUAUGAAAAUUUGAGUACAGUGGUAUUCUUUCCGAAAGAAAGAAAGUAUCCUCUAAUUCGAUCUCUUUAUUGGUUGGAUCCAAGGGUUGUUGGAGCUUGAUCUUGAAUCGACAAUUUCCUUCUAGUAUUUGUAGUUCAGGAUGACUGCUCCGAUUGAGGGCUGACGAAGUUUGAUUUCGAACGGUGUUUGUUUGGUGAUUCUUCAAACUUGUUGAAUCACAGAGAAAGAACGACACUAUUUUGAUGUGUUUGUUGUUCUUUGUUGAAUUUGAGCAAGAACGGUAUGACUUUGGAUGUGCUUGUUAUUCUCUGCCUUCAGACGCUUGGGUGGUAUUUUACUCUGAAAUUUUGGACUUUUGAAUUUUAUGGUCCCUCUGGAUUUCUCUGAAUUUCUGGACUCUUUGAAUAUCUGGUCCUCUUCCUCCAUGUUUUUAUUUAUAAGCUUCUUGGAUUAAUAGUAUGAUGACACGUAUUCUCUCUUGAUAAUGACAUAACUAUAACUGGCCGAGUUGGGCCGGUUAUAUUGUGAUAAUUAUUCAUAAAAAUAAUUAUUUCAAAUAUAAUUUAUUAAGAAUAAUUAUAUUUUUAUUUAAUCAUUUAGCCUAAGCUAAUUAAAUAAUUUAAGUUGACAAAGUUUGAGCUAAGUAAAUAAUUUAAUUAAACAUAAGACCCGUAUUUGAUGAAAGAAGAAAAAGACUGAAAGAAAAAAGAUGAAAGUAGAAAAAGACGAAAGAAUAAAAGACAAAGUAGAAAAAGAUGAAAGAAGAAAAGACAAAAAAAAAAUGAAAAAACGAAAAAAAACAUACCGAUUAUUUGCUCAGGGCAGGCCAAGGUUGCAAUCCAACAGUCUUAAGAGGUUGUAAUCUAACAAGCCUGCUUUCGUCUUUUUCUGCUUUCGUCUUUUUCUACUUUCGUCUUUUUUCUUUCUUUCUUUCUCUGUAACAUGUGAUGGUUCAUUCGCCCAAUCAGGUGGACAACUGUUGCUAGCAAACCUCAUUUUCAGAAAUUUGAACCAAAAAUGUUCCAAGUAAUUGAUCCAAGUAGUGGGGAGGAAUGAUAUAACUUACUCUACAAAGUAGAUAUAGUGCAAUCUAAAAAUAUAGUGUUGUGGGAAAAUUGCGUUAGUCAAUAUAUGUAAAACAUUGUACCAAGAAUGAUAUAUUGAGGUUGAAAAUACAAAUGUCCUGGUAACAUUAGAAAUGAUACAACUUACUUUACAAAGUAGAUAUACUGCAAUCCAAAAAUAUAAUGUUCUGGAAAUUGCAUUAGUCAAUAUAUGUAAAACAUUGUAGCAAGAAUGAUAUAUUGAGGUUGAAGAUGCAAAUGUCCUGGAAACAUUAGAAAUGUGGUGUAUAUUUUACUUAAUUGAGAAUAAUUGAAGAAAGAGGCCGGAGAUAUAUAAUGAGGUAAGGAGCAUGCUCAUCAAAUAUAUCUUCACUAUAUUAUAUGGUGGAGCAGGAAACAAUAGACACGCUAUGCACAUGUUCCUUGCCUCAUUUUCUUUUUGUUCUCUCUUUCGACUUUCAAUUAUUGUCCUUCGUCCUUACUUACAAUUCUUGUAGGCGGCAACAAUUAAUAAAAUGAACCACAUUAUUCCAAAACGAUCAAAACGUGUCCUUCCACUAUUAGAUAGUAUAAAUGUACCAUGAGAGGUGGCAUUUGCCGAUGCAUGUGCACCCUAUAAUCAAUCAUUCAUAUCAUUAGUUGUCUUCAGUUUUUCAACUCUUCUGAUAGCAUGUUUGAUUGAGAUUAUGGUCUUAGAGCAGAAUGGCGUUUAGAAUUCAUGUGGUCGAUUCCAAAUAGUUGAGAAAGGACUUUAUGGAAUGGUAAUUUAAGUCUAAUUAUGACAUUUAUACCAAUUCUUUAAAAUUUUGGUCGGUAAUAGGAGUUUUUUUUAUAAUGUGCAAAACUACUUAUAAUAUGUUCGAAGAAAAAAGAAGUCACUAAUUUUGGUCGGUAAUAGGAGUUUUUUUUAUAAUGUGCAAAACUACUUAUAAUAUGUUCGAAGAAAAAAGAAGUCACUAAUUUUGGAAGAAUAUAGUGGAACAUCAGAAAUUGGGUUGGCUUAAUAUAUUUGAAUAGUAUGUGCACACAAACACAUAUGAAGAGGGAUGGCCGCCUGACUAUCAGUUGGGUGAAACAAUACCAAAACUUGCAACUGUUUUUUCCCAUUUGGCGGUUGUAUUAUGAGCAUUUAGUCAGACGUAUGUCAAAUUGAAACUCAUUUGUUGACAGUUUUUGGGAAAUUGCUCUAUGAAAAUUGGGUCAAGAAAAGGCAUGCUUCAUAGAAUAGUCUUUUAUAGGGUCUUAGUUAUUUGAGUUGAAUUAUUUUUAGAAGUAGUUGUUGCUAGACAGUCGCCCAUUUGAUUGGGCGGCUGAUAAACCAUCAUGUGUUUGUUGGUUUUUUUUUUUUUAAAUCGAUCCUAGAUUCAACUAGACUCUAUAUCCAGCAGGAAGGGACAUACUUGGUCAUGUAGUCUUUUGGAGUUGAAAUUUUAAGCAGCAACACGUGAAAGGAUUGAUUUAAUAAAAGAAAAAAAACCUACAACACGUGAUGGUUCAGUCGCCGUUGGGCGACUGUUGCUAGCAAUUUUCAGAAAAUUGAACCAAAAAUGUCCCAAGUAACUGAUCUAAGUAGUGGGGAGGAAUGAAAUAACUUGCUUUACAAGUAGAUAUCUUGCAAUCCAAAAAUAUAAUAGCAGAAUGGCGUUUUGAAUUCACGUGGUGUCCAAAUAGUUGAGAAAUGACUAUGGAACUGAAAUUUUAGUCUAAUUACGACAUUUAAAUAAAAAUUGGUUGGUAAUGGGAGUUUUUGAUAAUGUGGCACAAAUUCAAUUUGUGCAAAGCUCUACUUCUAUAAUAUGUUAGAAGAAAAAAGACAUCACUAAUUUUGGAAGAAUAUUGUGGAACAUCAUAAAUAGGGUUGGCUUAAUAUAUUUGAAUAGUAUGUGCACACAAAUACAUAUGAAAAGGGAUGGGCCGCCUGAUUAUCAGUUGGGUGAAACAGUACCAAAUCUUGCAACACUUUUUUCCCAUUUCGCGGCUGUAUUAUGAGCAUGUAGUCACGCAUAUGUCUACUUGAAAUUCAUUUGUUGACAGUUUUUUGGAAAUUGUUCUAUGAAAAUUGGGUCUAAGUAAAGACAUGAUUCAUAGAAUAGUCUUUUAUAGGGUUUUAGUUAUUUGAUUUGAAUUAUUUUUAGAAGUGGUGGUUGCUAGACAGUCCCCCAAUUGAUUGGGUUAACCAAUAAACCAUAACGUGGUGUUGGUUUUUUUUUUUCUUUUUUUUCUUCUUAUAUCUAUCCUAGAUUCAACUGGACUUUUGGAGUUGAAAUUUUAAGCAGCGGACGUGUUAAAUGAUUGAUAUAAGAAAAAAAAAAAAAAACCUACAUAAAGUGAUGGUUCAGCCGCCCAAUCAGAUAGGCAGCUGUUGCUAGCAAACUUCAUUCUCAGAAAAUUAACCAAGUCCCAACUUCGUUAGUCUUUUAUAGGGUUUUAGUUGUUUGAGUUAAUUGUUUUCUGAAGUGGUUGUUGCUAGACAGUGGCCAAUUUGAUUGGGUCGACUAUAAACCAUAACGUGUUGUUGGUUUUUUUUUUUUUAAUUUUAUUAUAUCAAU